AGUGAACGCUGGCGGUAGGCCUAACACGUGCAAGUCGAACGGCAGCACAGGAGAGCUUGCUCUCUGGGUGGCGAGUGGCGGACGGGUGAGGAAUACAUCGGAAUCUACUUUUUCGUGGGGGAUAACGUAGGGAAACUUACGCUAAUACCGCAUACGACCUACGGGUGAAAGCAGGGGAUCUUCGGACCUUGCGCGAUUGAAUGAGCCGAUGUCGGAUUAGCUAGUUGGCGGGGUAAAGGCCCACCAAGGCGACGAUACGUAGCUGGUCUGAGAGGAUGAUCAGCCACACUGGAACUGAGACACGGUCCAGACUCCUACGGGAGGCAGCAGUGGGGAGUAUUGGACAAUGGGCGCAAGCCUGAUCCAGCCAUACCGCGUGGGUGAAGAAGGCCUUCGGGUUGUAAAGCCCUUUUGUUGGGAAAGAAAUCCAGCUGGUUAAUACCCGGUUGGGAUGACGGUACCCAAAGAAUAAGCACCGGCUAACUUCGUGCCAGCCGCCGCAGUAA
This 506-nucleotide ribosomal RNA is filed under the name uncultured bacterium. Its description in RNAcentral is "partial 16S ribosomal RNA". It matches the Rfam family "Bacterial small subunit ribosomal RNA", at positions 29 to 523 of the family's 1533-position model. The record is from RNAcentral.